Molecule: transfer RNA, 59 nt
Filed under: Alphaproteobacteria bacterium
Lineage: Bacteria; Pseudomonadati; Pseudomonadota; Alphaproteobacteria
Description: tRNA-Ser
Rfam family: tRNA
About the family: Transfer RNA (tRNA) molecules are approximately 80 nucleotides in length. Their secondary structure includes four short double-helical elements and three loops (D, anti-codon, and T loops). Further hydrogen bonds mediate the characteristic L-shaped molecular structure. tRNAs have two regions of fundamental functional importance: the anti-codon, which is responsible for specific mRNA codon recognition, and the 3' end, to which the tRNAs corresponding amino acid is attached (by aminoacyl-tRNA synthetases). tRNAs cope with the degeneracy of the genetic code in two manners: having more than one tRNA (with a specific anti-codon) for a particular amino acid; and 'wobble' base-pairing, i.e. permitting non-standard base-pairing at the 3rd anti-codon position.
Source: RNAcentral
GGUAGAGCACCGGUCUCCAAAACCGGGGGUUGUAGGUUCGAGUCCUAUCGCCCCUGCCA